Molecule: ribosomal RNA, 179 nt
Filed under: uncultured bacterium
Lineage: Bacteria
Description: partial 16S ribosomal RNA
Rfam family: Bacterial small subunit ribosomal RNA
Source: RNAcentral
CAUGAAUCGGAAUUGCUAGUAAUCNCGGAUCAGCAUGCCGCGGUGAAUACGUUCCCGGGCCUUGUACACACCGCCCGUCACACCAUGGAGCCGGUAAUACCCGAAGUCAGUAGUCCAACCUCGUGAGGACGCUGCCGAAGGUAGGAUUGGCGACUGGGGUGAAGUCGUAACAAGGUACC